This 413-nucleotide ribosomal RNA is filed under the name uncultured prokaryote. Its description in RNAcentral is "bacterial SSU rRNA". It matches the Rfam family "Bacterial small subunit ribosomal RNA", at positions 505 to 918 of the family's 1533-position model. The record is from RNAcentral.
GUGCCAGCAGCCGCGGUAAUACGUAGGGGGCGAGCGUUGCUCGGAAUUACUGGGCGUAAAGGGUGUGCAGGCGGCCGAUUAAGUCAACGAUGAAAUCCCGAAGCUCAACUUCGGAAUGGUCUUUGAUACUGAUCGGCUUGAGGCUGGUUGAGGAGAGCGGAAUUCCCGGUGGAGCGGUGAAAUGCGUAGAUAUCGGGAGGAACACCAGAGGCGAAGGCGGUUCUCUAAACUUGUCCUGACGCUGAGACACGAAAGCUAGGGGAGCAAACGGGAUUAGAUACCCCGGUAGUCCUAGCUGUAAACGAUGGACACUAGAUGUUCCCGCGUUUAUGCGGGAGUGUCGUAGCUUACGCGUUAAGUGUCCCGCCUGGGGAGUACGGUCGCAAGGCUGAAACUCAAAUGAAUUGACGGGG